UUACCUACAAUAUCUGCUUUCUUCUCCUUACAGGAAUGUGUCAUGAGAAUAAAUGAGAUAAUUUAGGCAAAGCACUUUGAGAUCCUAGGAAGAAAAUGCAUUUUAUUUGUUCAUUAUUGUUGUUUUUAGUAUUAUUAAUAAAUGCUACAUUGAAGUUGGCCUGAAGAAUCACUGUUAUAUUUUUCAACCGCAUUCCUGGAAGCACUGCAGAUGUUAGAUCAAUUUUGAAAGCCAAAGUGUACCUCUGGGAAUGACAUGGCAGCAACUGAAAUAGUAUUUGGCCACAUUAAGAGUGUACGCCAAAGAUGCCAAAAAUCACAGUAACCUGGCAGAAACAGACCAAAAGCACUUCACGUGAAAUUACUGACCACCAUGGCUCCUUCAGGUUCUGUUAAUCUGGAUUCGAGGCACCUGAGAGCCAAAGCAAACCGCAAGAGGCGCAGCAGCUCACCCGCACAUCGCACAGAAGCAGCCUCGCAUGGUGUGUGCCAGUCCAAUUGGCAAUCUCUUAGCACUGAGAGGAAAUAAUGUAAUUUUGAGGAGUUAGGCAUUUUCUUCAAAAGAAGACAGAUUCUAAAUGGUGAAGGUGGUGAGGAAAUAAGUGGGAAAUGUUUACGGUAGGGAGGCAUCCAACGGGGAAUUUAUGGGAACGGAAAAGUCUUCCAAAUAAGGAGGCUUGAGAUUUGAGAGCAGACCUGUGUGUAGGUUUGAGGGAAGAAUUGAGGAUGAGCGAUCAAAGGAGAAAAUCUGGGAGGUUCUCAGCAGUGAAGGUCUGUUGAGAGGGAGAAGACACUAUUGACCAAACCUCUACUGUGUGCUGGGUAACUUCUUACGUGUUGAUCAAAAUACAUUUAUAAUGUUCAUGUAUGCAGGCCAAACAUUUGAAGUGCAGAAAGAUUAAACAAUUUUCAUUUUCAUUUCAUUUCAAUGAAAUGAAAUCAUUUCAUUUUCAUUUUACCCAGGACCUUUAAGGACUCAAUACCUUUUCUUCAAAUAUUAGCAUUCUCCUCACUUCAUUGGAUGCUUCCAACCAUGGGUUCU
Long non-coding RNA from Hipposideros armiger (great roundleaf bat), 1041 nucleotides. RefSeq lists it as uncharacterized. Lineage: Eukaryota; Metazoa; Chordata; Mammalia; Chiroptera; Hipposideridae. The transcript is spliced from 3 exons. The record is from RefSeq and is a predicted model, not a curated record.